This is a long non-coding RNA of Hydra vulgaris (swiftwater hydra), 374 nucleotides long. RefSeq lists it as uncharacterized. The record is from RefSeq and is a predicted model, not a curated record. NCBI's taxonomy places the organism in Eukaryota, Metazoa, Cnidaria, Hydrozoa, Anthoathecata, Hydridae.
GUACAUCUUUCAUGAACUUUUUCUUCUACUUAAAUAAAAGUGACUAUUAAACUUUUGGUAUGAAAAGCUAACGGAUCAACUGCCAAAAAAUCAAGUUUGUAUAACUUACACGCAAACCGUGCACAGAAACCAUAAACGCAAAAGGUAUACAUUUGUGUCUCUUCGUCAGCUCUGCUAUUAAUGUUUUAAAUGAAAUAAUGUCAAAAUGUAUUAUACCAUUGUUUAAGAAAGCUGGAACUUAUGGAAAUAGAUCAUUUAAAAAAAAACUUUAUUGAGUAGAGUAAUCAUAGGAACAUUAGUGUCACAUACAGCAAAAUUCGAUUUGGUCGAUAAGUUGAAAGGCGAUUGUUUGAAGAGAAUAAUAGAAUAAAUAG